AAGUUUACCCUUUUUUUAGAA
Molecule: transfer RNA, 21 nt
Filed under: Zabrotes subfasciatus (Mexican bean weevil)
Lineage: Eukaryota; Metazoa; Arthropoda; Insecta; Coleoptera; Chrysomelidae
Description: partial tRNA-Leu
Source: RNAcentral